RNAcentral lists this ribosomal RNA (861 nucleotides) under Triticum aestivum (bread wheat). Its description in RNAcentral is "partial small subunit ribosomal RNA". The record is from RNAcentral. Lineage: Eukaryota; Viridiplantae; Streptophyta; Magnoliopsida; Poales; Poaceae.
AUGGCCGAAUGCUUCAAUAGGGUGCUCAAAGGUGCACGUGGAUUACCUGUGACGGCAAUAGUUCAAUACACAUUUGACAAGAUGAAUGCGUACUUUCUAAAGUACUCAAUGGAAACUGCUGCACAGAUAGCGGGUGAGAAGCCGCGCAAGUACAAGUACAAGUUCCCACCCAAGGUUGAUGAAUGGUUAGAAUUUCAAUCACGAAAGGUGGACUCAGAAGAAGCUAUAUUAUAUGACAAUGAAGAGUGGAAGUAUGAAGUGAAAGAGCCAGGAGGAACCACAAACGAUGGCCGGCAACAUGGAGGUCGGGCUUUCAAGGUGUCGUUAACACAAUGUGAUUGCUCUUGCGGGAGGCCAUUGUUGCUUCAUCUCCCAUGAUCACAUUUGUAUACCGCCGGUCGCGUUAGAAAUGUGGACAUCAAUCACCCACGCACCAUGAGGGAGUUGGGGUUCUCAAUCAUGACGGUCAAGAAAACAUGGGCUCCCCGCUUUCACCCAUACUUUGACCAAUCACAAUGGCCGGAGUACCAUGGAGUUCAACUAUGGCCGGAUCCGGAGUUGAAGGUUGUUAAACGUGGUAGACGUAAAACAAAGCGUUUUAGAGGCGACAUGGACGGAUGGGGCCAUGGUGGCCGCCGCAAAGCGGGAAACGAUCAAUUCCAAGAGCCUCGUGAGAGCUCCCGUUGUGGGGAAUGCAAAGGUCAUGGCCACAACAAAAGAAAAUAUACAAAACCAAGGAAAAGGUCCAAGAAAAAUGAUGCAAGCACUAGCCAACAAGGAGCUACACAAGGGAGCCAACCAAGUGGUAGCCAACAAGUGCCAAGCCAACCAAGAGGUAGCCAACAAGUGCGAAGGCAAUAA